GGUGUGUGGAAUGGAGGCUGAUCCAAGAUCCUUGCUUGGUGCAAAAUACUAGGGCAUUGUAGUAAGUGCAAUUGGUUCUAUUUUGUUUCCGAGUUUGGGGUCUCGGACCAGGCUUCAUUCCUCACACC
RNAcentral lists this microRNA precursor (128 nucleotides) under Oryza punctata. RNAcentral describes it as "pre miRNA mir-166". It matches the Rfam family "mir-166 microRNA precursor family". Rfam says of the family: This family represents the plant microRNA (miRNA) precursor mir-166. Animal miRNAs are transcribed as ~70nt precursors and subsequently processed by the Dicer enzyme to give a ~22nt product. In plants the precursor sequences may be longer, and the carpel factory (caf) enzyme appears to be involved in processing. The record is from Rfam by way of RNAcentral. Lineage: Eukaryota; Viridiplantae; Streptophyta; Magnoliopsida; Poales; Poaceae.